UAACAGGAUUCCCCUAGUAACUGCGAGUGAAGCGGGAAGAGCUCAAAUUUGUAAUCUGGCGGUCUCUGGCCGUCCGAGUUGUAAUCUGUAGAGGCGUCGUCCGCGUCGGCCCGUGUACAAGUCUCCUGGGAUGGAGCGUCAUAGAGGGUGAGAAUCCCGUCCAUGACACGGACCACCGAUGCUCUGUGAGGUGCCCUCGAAGAGUCGCGUUGUUUGGGAAUGCAGCGCAAAAUGGGUGGUAAAUUCCAUCUAAGGCUAAAUAUUGGCGAGAGACCGAUAGCGAACAAGUACCGUGAGGGAAAGAUGAAAAGCACUUUGAAAAGAGAGUUAAACAGUACGUGAAAUUGUUGAAAGGGAAACGCUUGAAGUCAGUCGCGUCUCGUGGCACUCAGCCUUGCUUCGGCUUGGUGUACUUGCCUUGGGAUGGGUCAACAUCAAUUUUGGCCGGUGGACAAAGGCGAGGGGAAUGUAGCGUCGUUUUGGCGACGUGUUAUAGCCUCUUGUUGAAUACACCGGCUGGGAUUGAGGACUGCAGCACGCCCUUGUGGCUGGGGGUUCGCCUCAUGUAACGUGCUUAGGAUGUUGGCAUAAUGGCUUUAAGCGACCCGUCUUGAAACACGGACCAAGGAGUCUAACAUGCUUGCGAGUGUUCGGGUGGAAAACCCUUGCGCGUAAUGAAAGUGAAAGUUGGGAGCCUUCGCAAGGGGGUGCACCGACGCCCGGCCCUGACGUUCUCUGACGGUGCUGCGGUAGAGCAAGUAUGUUGGGACCCGAAAGAUGGUGAACUAUGCCUGAAUAGGGCGAAGCCAGAGGAAACUCUGGUGGAGGCUCGUAGCGAUUCUGACGUGCAAAUCGAUCGUCAAAUUAGGG
This 870-nucleotide ribosomal RNA is filed under the name Phellinus ribis f. ulicis. RNAcentral describes it as "partial large subunit ribosomal RNA". It matches the Rfam family "Eukaryotic large subunit ribosomal RNA", at positions 66 to 915 of the family's 3401-position model. Lineage: Eukaryota; Fungi; Basidiomycota; Agaricomycetes; Hymenochaetales; Hymenochaetaceae. The record is from RNAcentral.